CCCCGCACCCUAUAAUCGUCAGGGUGACCACUUUUGUCCUGUAUUCUUCGCCAUGUCUGUUGUUUUCAGGGCACCCACACACCUAGAGUUUUGAUUCAUGGCUCAGGAUGAACGCUGGCGGCGUGCCCUAAUACAUGCAAGUCGAACGAGUUCUCGUUGAUGAUCGGUGCUUGCACCGAGAUUCAACAUGGAACGAGUGGCGGACGGGUGAGUAACACGUGGGUAACCUGCCCUUAAGUGGGGGAUAACAUUUGGAAACAGAUGCUAAUACCGCAUAGAUCCAAGAACCGCAUGGUUCUUGGCUGAAAGAUGGCGUAAGCUAUCGCUUUUGGAUGGACCCGCGGCGUAUUAGCUAGUUGGUGAGGUAAUGGCUCACCAAGGCGAUGAUACGUAGCCGAACUGAGAGGUUGAUCGGCCACAUUGGGACUGAGACACGGCCCAAACUCCUACGGGAGGCAGCAGUAGGGAAUCUUCCACAAUGGACGCAAGUCUGAUGGAGCAACGCCGCGUGAGUGAAGAAGGCUUUCGGGUCGUAAAACUCUGUUGUUGGAGAAGAAUGGUCGGCAGAGUAACUGUUGUCGGCGUGACGGUAUCCAACCAGAAAGCCACGGCUAACUACGUGCCAGCAGCCGCGGUAAUACGUAGGUGGCAAGCGUUAUCCGGAUUUAUUGGGCGUAAGCGAGCGCAGGCGGUUUUUUAAGUCUGAUGUGAAAGCCCUCGGCUUAACCGAGGAAGCGCAUCGGAAACUGGGAAACUUGAGUGCAGAAGAGGACAGUGGAACUCCAUGUGUAGCGGUGAAAUGCGUAGAUAUAUGGAAGAACACCAGUGGCGAAGGCGGCUGUCUGGUCUGUAACUGACGCUGAGGCUCGAAAGCAUGGGUAGCGAACAGGAUUAGAUACCCUGGUAGUCCAUGCCGUAAACGAUGAAUGCUAGGUGUUGGAGGGUUUCCGCCCUUCAGUGCCGCAGCUAACGCAUUAAGCAUUCCGCCUGGGGAGUACGACCGCAAGGUUGAAACUCAAAGGAAUUGACGGGGGCCCGCACAAGCGGUGGAGCAUGUGGUUUAAUUCGAAGCAACGCGAAGAACCUUACCAGGUCUUGACAUCUUUUGAUCACCUGAGAGAUCAGGUUUCCCCUUCGGGGGCAAAAUGACAGGUGGUGCAUGGUUGUCGUCAGCUCGUGUCGUGAGAUGUUGGGUUAAGUCCCGCAACGAGCGCAACCCUUAUGACUAGUUGCCAGCAUUUAGUUGGGCACUCUAGUAAGACUGCCGGUGACAAACCGGAGGAAGGUGGGGAUGACGUCAAAUCAUCAUGCCCCUUAUGACCUGGGCUACACACGUGCUACAAUGGAUGGUACAACGAGUUGCGAGACCGCGAGGUCAAGCUAAUCUCUUAAAGCCAUUCUCAGUUCGGACUGUAGGCUGCAACUCGCCUACACGAAGUCGGAAUCGCUAGUAAUCGCGGAUCAGCACGCCGCGGUGAAUACGUUCCCGGGCCUUGUACACACCGCCCGUCACACCAUGAGAGUUUGUAACACCCGAAGCCGGUGCGUAACCCUUUUAGGGAGCGAGCCGUCUAAGGUGGCACAAAUGAUAGGUGAGUCG
Molecule: ribosomal RNA, 1600 nt
Filed under: Lacticaseibacillus casei
Lineage: Bacteria; Bacillati; Bacillota; Bacilli; Lactobacillales; Lactobacillaceae
Description: bacterial SSU rRNA
Rfam family: Bacterial small subunit ribosomal RNA
Source: RNAcentral